Molecule: RNase P RNA, 283 nt
Filed under: Gammaproteobacteria bacterium
Lineage: Bacteria; Pseudomonadati; Pseudomonadota; Gammaproteobacteria
Description: partial RNase P RNA component class A
Rfam family: Bacterial RNase P class A
About the family: Ribonuclease P (RNase P) is a ubiquitous endoribonuclease, found in archaea, bacteria and eukarya as well as chloroplasts and mitochondria.
Source: RNAcentral
CGCCUGGGGGGCGUGAGCCCAUGGAAAGUGCCACAGAAAAUAUACCGCCGGCCCUCGGGUCGGUAAGGGUGAAAAGGUGCGGUAAGAGCGCACCGCGCGACUGGCAACAGUUCGCGGCACGGUAAACCCCGCCCGGAGCAAGACCAAAUAGGGGAGUGAGGGCUUUUUGCCCACCGUCGGUUCCGAACGGACUCCCGGGUAGGUUGCUAGAGGCAGUUGGUGACGGCUGUCCCAGAUGAAUGGUUGUCUACGACAGAACCCGGCUUAUUGCUGGCUCCGGCUU